ACUCCUACGGGAGGCAGCAGUGGGGAAUAUUGCACAAUGGGGGAAACCCUGAUGCAGCCAUGCCGCGUGUGUGAAGAAGGCAGCUUCGGGUUGUAAAGCACUUUCAGUAGGGAGGAAGGUAGUGUAGUUAACACCUGCAUUAUUUGACGUUACCUACAGAAGAAGCACCGGCUAACUCCGUGCCAGCAGCCGCGGUAAUACGGAGGGUGCGAGCGUUAAUCGGAAUUACUGGGCGUAAAGCGCAUGCAGGCGGCCUGUUAAGUCAGAUGUGAAAGCCCGGGGCUUAACCUCGGAAUUGCAUUUGAAACUGGCAGGCUAGAGUCUUGUAGAGGGGUG
RNAcentral lists this ribosomal RNA (336 nucleotides) under uncultured bacterium. RNAcentral's name for it is "bacterial SSU rRNA". It matches the Rfam family "Bacterial small subunit ribosomal RNA", at positions 335 to 661 of the family's 1533-position model. The record is from RNAcentral.